Molecule: long non-coding RNA, 24760 nt
Filed under: Vitis vinifera (wine grape)
Lineage: Eukaryota; Viridiplantae; Streptophyta; Magnoliopsida; Vitales; Vitaceae
Description: long non-coding RNA (VVIN_LNC001270)
Source: RNAcentral
UCCACGUGUAAACCUCUUAAGGGCUUUUCUCAUAAUAUCAUUAGAGCACAAUGUGGCUUCUAAACCAUCACUUACAUCCCCAUUCUGUUUCUACACGUGAGUAAUCUUAAAUACCAUCAAGAUAUUUCUCUUGUAAAUUACAGCACAUAACAGCACUAGUAUUUUUGAAUAAUACAAAAACAUACAUGAGAUUUGAUCCAACUGGUGAAGAUAUAAUUUAGAAACUAGGAAGAGUCCACAAUAUUCAGGAAAGUUCCUGUUCACAUUUUUGGUUUUUCAUUCAAACUUGCAUACAUUUAAAGGCAUGCAACAAAGAUAUUUAAAUUGAAACAUAGUUGAAACUUGAAAGAUAGCAUAAAGGCAAGGGCAAUGAGCAAUUACCCAGCUUUUGUCAUGCCAGCCUCUUCUAGGACCUUAGCAUUGUUGCCUUGCUGGGAGGGUGAAGGGUGGAAGAAGAGGCAAAUAGCUGUGAUGUCAUCCGUUGCAACACCCCGUUUCUUUCGUUUCCAUGCAUCAACUGCACAUUCCACCAGCCUUUUAGCAGAUUUGUUUCGGUCUGGUGCUGAAGAAACAAUCUCAACUGCCUCUUGGUUAGAGAUGACAUCCCAUACCUGAACACAAAAGCCAAGCAAUUGCCCAAUAAUCCAGAACAAUUUGUCAUUUAUGGGUUUUUCACUAAGAUCAAAUCUACUUAAAAUCUAACCUUUGCCAAACCAAUUUAAGAAAGUAAUGCUUUGAUGUAAAAUUUGGAACCGGAAACAAUGAAAGGCAUACCCCAUCUGUGGCUAAAAUGGCAAAUUGGUCUCUGCUGGUUAUAUUUCUUUGUGUGACUUCAGGCACGGAAAUAACCCCAAAGUCCUUCAUGCAGUAGUCACCAAAGGCUCUUGAUAUUGCUAGCCCUGGCGUCUUUGUAUUUGGCAUCCAAACCCUGUACACCCCUGGUUCAUCUUGUAAGCAAUAUACCUGCCCUCUGGACUUAGUUAUUCGCUCAGCUUCCUCUGUAACCAAGAUGAAUAUGAGUGUAAAAUUAAUAUUAUCGAUGUAUACUUAGUAUAACUUGUUAACACAACACCCCACAAACACAUGUAGAGAAGGAGAACUAACGAGGUAAAUUGGGCUUAAAGUCGACAGUAAGUUGAACUGCUACCAGGCUGCCAUCAUCAGACGUGGUUCCCAACACAGCCCGAGAAUCACCAACAUUUGCUAUGAUAAUGAGUUCUCCCUGAAAAAGUUAAUGUGGCAAGGCUGAGGCAACUUUCUGCUUGAAUCUAAAAAUUUCUAAUAUCUGAUAGUCUUUUAAUUUAGUUUUCCAAACCAAUAAAAUUUUCAAGGGACAACGGUAUAGAUUAUCCAGCUCAGUCCAGAAUGAUCUUAGAAAUCCAUUUUCCUAUCUUCAUUAAAAUAUCUGUAACUUGCUUUUGGUUGGUAGACAAAGAAACAAGGGUGGCAAAGAAGAUACCACCUAUUGAAAUCAUUUUAGACAACCUCGACCUUAUUUGUAGCUCUAAACAGAGGGUUGGCCUUGACCACAUGGGAAACUAAUUCAAACUAGGACAUGCCCGGGAAUUCCCAUACAAACUAGAGGUCUGUUCCUCAUCUGUACAAAUUAACCUCAAGCUUUUCAAUAUGUCACUUCAGCCAAAGCAUCUUCUGCAUCUUAAAACUCCUUUUUCUUUCUUUAAUUUCAGUAUUUGACAACAGAAGACAUAACAUUAGAUAAAGCUGAAUGGUGGUCAAGGAAUCAUGUAGCGGACUUUGAAAUUUGGGUUACGAGGUUUUGUUAUUUCAAUAAUAACACGAAGGAAAUCUACUAGAAGUGAUAAAACUGAAAACAAGAAUCAAUUCAAAAGAACAAUAAUGAAAUGACUAAUCAAACCAAGCAGUUAUCUGCUCAAAUUAGAUAUUAUGCAGCUACCUGUCGAACAAUUGUCAAAGCUGUGGUGCCACUGCGAAAAGAAUCAAGAUCUGCAUGCUGCUCGAGCUCCUCAUCAAUGGCAGCACAAGUUUUCAAGUAGGAUUGCCUCCAUAUAUCAAAUGGGCAAAGGUUUCUAUCAAGUCCCAUCAUGUCAAAACCCUGAGCAAGUGCAAGAGUUUCUUGCCAAUGGCAUAACAAAAAUGAUGGCAUCAAUUUCCUGACCCUUUUGGCUACAUGGUGCCCCCACAAGCCAUGCCCAUCAAAAAUCCCACAAAAGGUCAUGUCUUCUUGGCAUCCAAACUCCUACCAACCAAACCAGAAUUUGUGGAUCGAUUAGAAACUAAAUGGUAAUUAUCAUUUUCAAAGAACUGUUCUAGAUUCUAAUAACAAGUUUGCCAUAUAUUGACUUUGAGAUAUGAUUGGCAUACCUCCCACACAAUGAAGCAAUCUUGAUUCACUCCUUUCUUUCCUUUCUUGGAGAAGACAGAGGCAAAAUUACUAGAGCCCCUUGAAUUUAUAAUGCCUGGAGAAGUCAACAUCAAAUUGUUCCCCCUUGCUUCCUUUGCUAACGAUUCAGCAGCUUCUCUUCCAACAUCACUCCUCCAGCUCUCCCCUUUCAUGAGUGAUAUAUUCCGCAUCAAUGCGUCAAAAAGAGCCAAAAGAUUCUCCAUCGGCCUUCCCUCCAAAUCACACCUGCAAAUUACAUGGUAUUUUCCAAUCUAUUUACUCAGAUUAUCAAAUAUGAAAAUGACUCUCAUGUCUACUGAGUACUGGAAGAAGUAAAUGAAUUCAUUUGUUACAAUUACAUUCCAAUCCAAACAAUAGAAAAAGUAAGAUAGAAAAUUUUCUUUCGUUUUCCUCCUUCCUUUGCUACCAAACAUAAAUAAAUUAAAGCAAAAUACGAAGUGCAAUGACUGAAGGUCAACUUGAAGCUAAAAAGUAUUCACACUCGAAAGGAGCCCAACGGAACCAAAAGGAAAGACAGGAAGAUUUGAAAACCAUUCCUCCCCACACAGAACCGAGGGAAAGAAAACCUAUCCUCUCAGCUGAGUCCUUGGUCUAGUUUUUGCAAGUACAAACAAUGAAAAAUUUUCUCUGGUUUCCCCGACCAAACAUGGUCUUAAUCUACUGCCUCUAAAUAACAUAACCAACUGAUGUUCAGAGAACUAACACACAACCUUGUUUUUCCGCGGUGGUCAAAGACCGAUCACGCCGUCCCGGAGAUCUCUCCGGAGAACUAUUGCCAAACCAACUGAUAUUUCCAAUUCUAGCAUCUAAAGCAUAGCUUUUACCGGGAAGGGCCAUUUUUCAUUUAAGUAAAAUAGUAAUCAAAAUAUUUUAUUCAGAUUUGGUCUGAAAGAAAAUUAUAAUAUGGAUUAGGACAAAAUAGUAAAAUAAUUUUUUUUUUUUGAAUGGAAAUUGACUCAAAUAAAAAAUGUUUGUUCUGAAUUAAUUACAGUUUUUACGUGGAUGGAAAUUGAGGCUAAUUAAAAAUGCUUAUUUUAGAAGAACAGUGGGAAUUGAAUAAAGUUUUUCUUGUGGAUGGGAAUUCAUGAUAAUUUUAAAAAAUAUUUUGAAGAAGUCGUAAUGCAAUUACAUAAUUCUUGGCGAAGGAAAUGGAAUUAGUAAAUAUAAGUUCUUUUUCGGAGUGGUUAGAAGUAAUGACAUCAUGAAAGUAGUACAUUAAGUAUUUUAAACAAGGGUUUGGUUAUGGUAGUGUGAUAUCCAAGGAAAGUAGGCUAGACCAUUUAAUUUGAAAGCAAUUAUGGGUUUUUUUUUUGUGACAAUUACGAUUGUUCCUAUCAACUAUGUUUGAUAAUAUUAUAACUCUGGAAGGCAUGAUGUUUCAUCUUUAAGUUCUUGUCGAGUAAAUAUUAUGCAUGUAAUUCAUAAGUACAUGUAAUGGAAUGAAAUGUAAAUAGAAAGGUUUCCAUUGUUUUUGUUUAUACUAAAGUUUAUAUAAAGGUGAAUCUAAUAAGAACUUUAAGAAAAGAGGAUCUACAAGUUAUAAUGAAUAUUUUUUCACCUAUUCUUAGAAGAACCUUUUUUUGUCCCGUUGAUCCCAUUAUUUUUUUGUUGUUUUGUACCUGACAUUUUAUAUUAUGGUUUUCCCUUCUUUUUUUUUUUUUUACACUUUUAACCCCCCAUUUGCUCGUUACCCCCCAUUCGAUGACCCAAAUUUUACCAUAUGGCCUAAAUUAAAAGCUCCACGUGGUGCCACCAUAGAGUUUUCCAAACAAGAAAGUAGAUUUGAAAUAAGAGGAGAAGGCUAGGUUGUGUGUGAUGCUAUACCGAAACAAACAUUUUAUGGAGAAAUAUCAUCCUGAAUUUUACAGUGUACCUGCAAAGCCUCCAAAGGUAAAGCAAUAAGUGUUUUUGGAGACAAACGUUGCUUCCGGAUGCAGGAAAAGAGAUUCACCGAAGCAACUACUUUCAUGAAGUUUUAUACAACUGACGAUAAAUGAUUGACCUAAAAUACAUUAACCCCAAGUGGGGGAUUAAUUAUCAGCCACAUUAGACCUUCUCUCUAUCAUUUUUUGUAUUCAUGCUAACAAAUACUUACAACAUUGGGGGAGCCGUGUCUGUCAUGAACCUGAAAUCUUCACUUCACAUGACCGAGAAAAUGAUGGAUCUCAGGAUAACAUGCUGUGUCUUUUGAGUAUUAUAUCCGGGGAGGUACAGCUACAACGUGAAGGGCAGGGACCCCAUCUGCCGUGAAACUCUUUAAUUAGUGUGUAGGAAAAAACUCAGUGAAAGACUUGAGGAGAGGCAUAGUACUCGCUCUCAUUGAACACAGGUCUUAAAUCUUCUUUGCACAUGAAAUCUAAGGGGAAAUAAACAAGAUGACCCUUCACCGACUCUAAUCUUUCCAUGGGUUCGAUUGUCUUCAUGUCUCCAUUGUCAUAGGAUUCUAGCUUCAUAGGGGCUAUUCCUAAAUCAAUGGUGGUGUGGCCAAGUUUCUCCUUCCAGAUGGCCAUAUGUUGUCUCAUUGCAGCUCUGCAUGUGAUGAAGAUGAGAUGAAAAAGAGGUUAGCAGGGAGAAAAGAGAAUGUGAGAUGAAGAUCAGAGCUGCUUCAUACCUAGAAUGUAUGAGAUCGUUUGGGAUGCAAGAAAAGACAUCUUGGUAGAUUGUGGAAUUCGUCUGUCAAGGUUAAACACCCAUAAAUGGGAGUUAAUUAGAGAAAGAAUCAAGAGCAACAAACAAAUGAAAAAGACUCGAGCACAAUAGUAUAUCAACAUAAAGAUGUCUACACCGUUGGGAAGAUUUAGCAUGCACAAAAAAUUUGUCAUUUUCAUAUGCAGGGAAUUAUCUUUCAUAAAUUAAAAUAAAAAUGCAAAUCUUCUGAAUAAAAAUAAAUGCUUUCCCCACUCUCGGCGUUGACUUAUCCCAUCCAGAGAAUACUGGGAAAAAGAAAAGAAGGGGGAAAAAAAGAGUGGCCUAUAUAGAAGUUAAAAAGCCCAUAAAAUAUGGGCCAUAAAUUAGAGAAAAAUAUUUAAGCAAAAUUAUGUAUCAUUAAUAUAGUUAGUAAAGAAUCCUGAAAUUCUCAAAUUCAUUUCUAUUGGUUUGAUGUUGAGGAAAGUAAUGUAAAUGCUAACUUUGAAGUCUUUUGUUUAACAGUAACACUUUUCUUUUAGUUUUUGAUUCAGACCUUUGCAGUUGCCAUCCACACAUCUCUGUAAGUUGAAUCAACAACUGGAUCUUUUAUUUGAUCAAUCUGGAAAAAGAAAUAAAGAACAUACAGUCAGCCAAAUGAUAUGAGCUAUAGUUAGUUCCUCUUCAUUGAUGCUAUGGUUUGCUACAACCAACCCUCAGUCGCAUGGGUGUGGUUCAGUGAAGGCUUUUGAAGAAAAGGCUAAGCAGCAAUUAUCAUAUUUAUGACUAACCUCUCCUCCUCGAAGACCAAGGUGUUCUGACCACAGUGAGAGGCGGAGACUAUGAGCAAAUUUGCCAGCCUUCUUUGGUUUUCCUCCCAUAUAUGAAUCAACCAAUUCCUUGUCUUCAAUGAGCACGCCAAUCUGAAAGAACAAACAGUUCAGUGAUAAUUAAGGUAAACCUAAUCAUAAAAAAAGAAAAAGAGAAGCAAGUUUACAUUUAGAACAGAAAACCGUAUCAUUAGGUGGGGAUAACUCCUAAUUUUGGAAUUAUUCGCAAUGACUAAGACAAUGCAGGGAAGAGAAAAAUUCAGAAACUUGGUAGCAACAAAAAGACAACACAAGAACAACAGUUCUGAAGAUAUUAAAUUCAAUUUACAGUUUAGCUAUUAAAUAUUAUAUUGACCAAUAUUCUGUAAUGCAAUCUGCUUAAGUUCACAAUCCUGGUUCAACAAUCUAUAUUGUUCACUUUAACCAUGAUAUUCCAAUAUUGAAAUUAAUACCAAAAUAAAUAAAUAAAUAAAGUUCUCACUAUACAUAAACUCAUGAUAUGCAAGGAAACCCCAUGGUGGAACAAUUUCAGGAGCAACUAGUUACCAAAAAGAGGACUAGUGAUGGAAUAGAUGGUUCAUUUGUCUGAACAGUCCAGGGUUUCAGAAUGCUGAUACCACCUCCUAGACCAUAAAGAAAAACCAACCUUUUUAAAAGCAUUCAAAAUGCAUUAAGCAUUAAUUUUAAACAAGAAACAGCUCUAAAUUGUUUGGUGAAAAGUACAAAAGAAAUUUCAAGAAAUUGAGAAACCUGUAUCAAAUUCUAACUUGGGAAAAAAUCCACAGCAAUGGAAAUGGUGAACCUUAGUGUAGCAAUCCAAUUAUACAUAUGCCUAAACUUUAACCUCCUCCUCUGAAUAUCACAUGGGCAUGUUUGGUUCUCUCUGAUAACAGUUUUUUAUUUUUAUUUUAAAAAUGAAGUAUAGAACUUCUAAAAUCUAUAUUUGAUUCACUUUUUUCAGAAACUAUUUUAUUUUUAUUUUCAAAACAGGUGCUUUAAGAGAACAGUAAAAUGUGGCUCUAAAGUUUAAUAAUGUUAUUGAAAACAACUCAACAAGAACUUCAAGUUGUCAUUGACAUUUAUAACCGGGAGAUAGAAGGAGAAAAACUAAUGCUACUUUCUUCCACUCAGGUCAGAGUUUCAGAUAGAAAACAAAAACAACUGGAAGUCAAGAGUUAAAUAGGAAGGAGCACUGAAACACUUUGAAGCUUGAUAGUUGGGAGAGCAAUCUUGGAACAAUGAGAAAUUGGAAGAAACUUAAAACGAAUAAUCCCUUUAGAACUUAUUAAGGCAAGGCGACACUUCCACAGCCAAAGCCUGUCCAUAAACUGAGAAGGACAAAAGAGAGAAUAAAGUUCAAAAAAAGGGCGAUAAAAUAUCCUCCAACUCCUGUAUUUAAAAUAAGGGGAAAAAAAUAAUUAUGACUGCUGAGCUUAAAAUCAGUUCAUUUCAAAUCUUGUAUUCCUGAUUCCAUUCAUUUUCAUUCAAAUUUCUGUGAUUAAUUCAAUGGUUCACAUAAAUUUUCUUGAUCACACAAUAUUGUAUUUAUAUUUUUAAAGACAUGUAAUUUUUUUUCAUGGGUAAUUUUUUUUGGUCUUCAUUGGGUCUCAAAACUUGGAACCUUUCACAUCUCUAAUACAACCCUUUGUGACAUGGGUCAGGCCAAAUGAGCAAAACAUGUGAAUUUUAACUGCAAAUUUGGAAACAAUUCACUCACAAAAUUCAUCAAUGUGCUUUUUAAUUAUUCAAUGGUCACAACUAUACAAAUUUUGAUUAUCCUCUGUCUUCUGAAAAAUUGUUCUCUAAUUUAUCUUACCAAAAGUGUUUUUGGAUAAAAAUUUUCUGAAACUCACAUGUGAAGAAACUAAUCAUGAUAAAUCAGAGUUGUGAACAAUAAAUUGAUCUCAUGCUCUAGAACUGAAAAGAAUGAAAUACCAAUAACAAAAAUUUUAUUCAUGCAUAUUAGGAGAUAGAUUGGAACGCUGUGAGAAAGGAAAGUAGUGGGCAUCCAAGAAGUUGAUAGUAUGAUAGACUGAUUCUUUGUUAUUGGAUGAUGACUGGAAUACACAACACUUCUAAGAUUAUUCCUAACGAUGAAUAAAGCUUAGAAAAUAUGCAAUUUCCUCAGUCUUCUUCAGUUACUAUAAAUAAAAUUUCAAAUUCUCUGGUUUUUUCCAUUUCUGAAGCUGAAAACAUGGGUUUUUUUUUUAAUCACAUAUGAUAGGUUUUAGCUCUGAAGCAUGAACCUGUAGAAGAAUGAAUAAGUAUAAAGCAAAGGGAUGCUUGAGAAGUGAUACCUCAGAAUCUCUUGAUCCAAGCAAACUCCUAUCAUUAAUGUUAGCGGAUCCAAUCAAGGUUGUGCAGUCAUCAACUAUCAUGAUUUUGCUAUGCACAUACACCUACAGAAACAAUAGGAAUAUAAUGUGAAAAAUGAUAUACCACUGAGUUCCAAGCUCAAUUGUUUUUCCCAUGUCCAUUAUAAAAAUUUAAAAAAAAAAACAUGAAAAAGAUGCAUACAAAUAGAUUUUGUAAUUGAUUAGGGAACAUUGAAAAUAAAUGUACAUAUGUGAUUAUGUGCAUCAGCAAAACACAAUACCUGACUAGAGGCCACAGGACCUCCAUCAAAAAGUCUACCAUAAGCUCUGAGACCAUAGAAAGAAAUGUAAUCAUGUGUUUUAUGACCAAUAACAUCAUAAAGAUUUUGUAAUAUUGAAUUAUUUCCUCGGCAUAUAGUUCGAUACUGCCAAUGCAUUAUGGCUCUUACAGAUGCCGCCCCACCAUCAUCCAAACCACCCUGUUGAAAUUCAAGACAAAAAUAAAAAACAAAUCUCUUUUAUUUCAAAUGUCAAGGAACUUAAUCAAGAAUAGUACCUGGAAGCCAGGUAGGAGUGGUAUGACAAUAAUAACUCUGAAACACUUCUUAUCAUUGUAUGCUUGCAUAAUACGCCUGUAUAACACUUCUAAUACUCGAUUGCGUAUUAUCUCAUCACCUGAAAGACCUGAUAUGAAAAAUUGAUUCUGGGAACAAGUUGCCCCAUGAGCAGAACAAAAAAUCAGAAACAUUAGCAGCUAAUUGGAACUUUUGCAGGCCUCCUUGGGAUGGAGAACCUCCCAAUAUUCAGUAAGAAAUCAAAGGUUCAAAAUAAAUAAAUUAAAUAGAUAUCCAAUUAUGAAGGAAAACUUGUCCAUAUAAAUGUCUUAGGAAGACAUCUAAGACCCUAACAUGCUGGUAAACUCAAGUGUAUAUGAGAAAUAUGUUUUCCUGUUUAUUACAUGCUUCCAUGCAUAUUUCUACAAGUGCAAAAAAAAAAAAAAAAAACAUCCAUCGCAUAUGGUUGUCAACUAAUCAUUCAUUAAAGAUGAAAAAGCUCAUCUCAUUCUAUACCUCAAUAUAUAUAAAGUGUUCUGCCUUUUCUAUAAGGGAGCAAUAAGCAUUAUGAGUGCUGUCUUCAACUUGGCUUGUUCCAGCAGACCACUGACUGACGCUCCUAAUAACCUGAAAGUGAGAUAUUAUUUCUGAUAGUUAAACAAAUAAUAUUAUAAUGAAAAAAGGAUUCAAUCCCAUAAAUAUGCUAGAGUGACAACAUAUAUAAAUUUAUGGGCUUUGUUUUUUGGUCCUCAUUGUGAAUAAGGGCUAAUUGUUAGGGUGCAACAAUUCUGCUCUUAAGCCCAAGGAUGGGUCACCUAAAUGAUGGCUCUUAGAAUAGACUCACAAGAUAUGAUGUUAAAUGCCAUAACAGGUUUUGCUUACCCUUAUUGGACACAAACAAGUUUUCAGAUGAGAUGAUUAGAGUCUAAUCCAAGAAUUAGUAUCAUUAACCUACCCUCACUAGACACCAAUUGGUUUUCAAAUGGGAUGGUUAAAGUUUGAUCCAACACUAAUCACAAAUAAGGUACCAUUGUGUUGGUAAUUGGCUGGUGCUACUUAGUUCCUGAAUGAACCACAAGAGCAAGGCACUAGCAGCUUUUCAAACCUUAAAUCCUUGUUUCCCUUUCUAAAUAUAAAUGUAUACCAACGUUAACUAGCUAUCCAAUUUCAUUCCAAAUCCCUUGCCACUUGCAAAUCUGAAGACACCAAAUGAUAAUACAGGUUCUAGCAGCCAACUAUACUUAAAAGGAUAUAGGAAAAAUAUAGCAAAAUAUUUUUAAUGUCAUAGAAUUGUGAGAAUAUAACCAAAAACCAAGAGUAAUAAUAAUAUUCUAUAUUAUAAGGAAAGGACUGUAGAGUACUGACAAGGUUGGCAGGGUGGAUUCUACAUUAAGAGGAAUCCAAUUUAGAAAUGUGACAAGAGGGCAGGGACUGACAAGGCAACAAACCAUCAUCACAGCAAGACUUAAAGCUAUGAAAUUCUAUGCCAGACUAUGACAUUCAAUAGUAAUUGGGUUGCACUCUCUCUUUUUUGUUACACCUAUCAAUUCAGAUCCCUAAUAUGCCUAUCAAAAGAAAAAAGAAAAAAGAAAAAUGAAAAAGCCUGUCAAUAAAAGGUUGACAUCCAUAGUCUGUAGAUACAGCAAAAAAAGAAAUGGAAAGAUUUGCAAUCUUCACCAUGCAGAUGUGAUCUAAUUCCAAAGUCUGACAACAUCACGGAAAUCUAAAAUUAACAUUUUGGACUACAUUGAGCUUUUUGACAGAUUGCUGAUCUCCCCUGAGGAAUUCACCAACACAUCCCCCCUUAGGCAACUACUAUUUUUAGUGCGAUAAACUACUCAUCUACUCCUGAAAUAAUAUAAAUUAUUUAAAUUAAAUAAAUGGUAUUUUCAACUUGGUUAAAAUGUGCAACUCCUGAUUGAGAGCAGAUAAUUGAUUCUACAUCCAAACCCCAGGAUUCACAUAUCAUAAGCAUAUUGAUAUUAUAGGAAUAUGUAGGUUGCUGAUAUUUGGCAUAAUUUAAGAUUUUAAAGAACUUCAAGAAUUAUAUAGUCAUAAUUUUAAGAAUUUUAAACCCCUUCAAGGUUAUAGCCUACCUGACAACGACAUGGAACGCAAGGACCAACUUGUCCAGUUUCAUCAGCAGAAAGAACUUGAUUCCCCCGCUCUUGUGUUUCCCACCACUCUCUAUCACACGUUCUCAUUCCAGGCUGUGCCAUUAUAUCUGAAGACAUUUUUCCUUUCAGAUCCAAGGUAUCAAGGUCAUCUACAAAACCUUUCAUUGGCAUAUCUGGGACUGGUUCAAUUUUGGACUUGCGAAAAGAGAAAGAAAGACUUCUGCUGACCCUAGUUGGCUGAUCAAGGAGAUUACUAGAGGAGUCAAACCCAUUCAAUUUUGAUUCUCCAUGGGGAGAAUCCAAUCCAUCAGGCUCUUGAGGCAAAAGCAGUGGGAUAUCUUGGAAAGAUGACCGAGAGGAAAAGGAAUCCAGUUUUUUAAUGUCUUUAUAGUUGUUUUCAACAUUCUUCUUUUCAACCUCCAUCUCUCUGCUCCUUCCCAUGUAAUGUGGAAUGACCAUGUGCUGCUGAGGCAUAAGUAGUGGAAUUGCUUGCUCAUUUGGAGCUUUAUUUCUCUGCAGAAAAGUAUGCUUGUAUUGAGAUAAAAGGUUUAUUAUACUUUUGAAAGAAGAACUAGGGAGUAUGUAGUGAAGACAUCAACCUUUGCAUAGUUCCAACGCUGAACAAAGUGCCUAGCUACAUCACGACAAGGCGGUCCCCAUAGGGCACAAUGGACGUCAUGCCAUGGCAUACGAGGAUAUUUUCCACGAUCCAAUUCAUCUUUCAUUGUAUCUUCCCAAGAAUUUGGUUCAGAUUCCCUGAAAUUGAAAAUUCAUUACAAGUUAUCCAAUGUGAAAGAGCCAGAGUGAAAACAAACUUGCAAUUACUUAGAAAAGAAGAAACUAUUGUCAAUGUUCUCACACAAACUAUGGAGCUUGUCACCCAUAUGUUUACAAGGGAAAGACAGUCUCUAAUAUCAAAACAUUUUACAAAAAAAAAAAAAAAAAAAAAAAAACUGAUUCAAAGCAUCUGAUUGAGGGAAUAGUGCAUAGACAAAGCAUGCAUCUAAAAAAAAUGCUUUUGAUUUUAAUCCAGCGUAGGAACAGCAGCAACUGGUCCCUUAAAAAUUCUUUAUCUUAAUAGUGAAUGAUCUUGUUGAUGAAAACCCAAAACACAGCAUACCAACCAAACAAAUACAGAUCAAUGAAAAGAGAACUAAUUUAAACUUCGAGAGAAAAGUACAGGAUCUAUAUUUAAAAUUGUCUUCCAAUAGUCAUCCAUUGCAAUAAACUUUCUGAAUCAGGAUCCAGAUAUUGAGAAAAGAACUUGCCUUGGGUUGUAAUAGUCUUUUCCUGGCCACAUCAAAGGAGGGUGAUCACCUACUUUGUGUUCCAAUGUGUCAUAACGGCCAAAGCAUAGAUCCAGACCUCCAAUAAAGCAAAUCUGGUAAUCAACAAUGACAAGUUUUUCAUGGUGGGACCUGUAUAUAAACAGAAAUGACAUCAGCAACUUCAAAAAUUCAUUACAACAGGAAAUACUAUAGCUCAAUUCUUACAUCUAUAGGACUUCAAAGUAAAUUACAUACCACAGAUAAACGCCAGUUGAGAAAUGAUCAGGAUAUCGCAGUACUCUCACAUUCUCAUGAAUGCUAAGAAGCUUCCUUUUACUGUAGACACUGUUGAUUUUCAAAGCAAGAGCAACCUCUUUGUAGAGAAGAAUGUAAAUCUGCAGUCAUAAGAUAAAUUAACACCAGCAUCCCUUCUAGUGGAUCAAAGUAGGUCCCAUAAUCAACAGAAAGAAAAAAAAAUGCAGGAAUAAUGAUUUCCAGAGUCCAUGGAUAUGGAGUUCAGUAAAGCUACAUGAGUUCUCAUGUUGUGGUAAAGUAAAGAUUUUGAUCAAUGAUAUCCAGUAUCCCUCCCUUCAAUCCAGGUCAGUGGCAUCCAUCUCUAGGAUGAAAUGUCAUGAGUUAAAAUAUCCAAAUGAAUAUCCACUAAGAGCAUAUUGAAAAUCAAUAACAAAUGAUUCACAGCCUAUCUUCAUAGUGGAAAACAUCGUCACUUGGUGCAUAAAUGAAUAUCCUGAAAAACCAAUGGUACAACUAUACCAAACUGUGGGUUUGAUAUAUUUAGAUGAUAUAAUGGAACAUAAAUAUGAACAACCAUUUAAGGAAUAAGGGUACCUGAACACCUUGCUUAGCUUUUGCUUCCAGUAAAGCAUCAAGCCGAGAAGAAGCAUGAGAGUGAAAUGGACGCCUCAGAUACAGUUCUGGGCACACCCACCAGCCACAAAUAAAUAUCUGCAUCGAAAUUUCAUCAUCUAAGAAUUGCUUUAAACUGACUACAACGAUAAUCAACCAAGACAGACCACAACUGCAUUAUGUGCUAUAGCAGGAAUCUACCUCUGAUUUUGCUUCCUCAAUUGCGGAGGCAAUCGCUUCAAAUGCCGCUCGACCAUCGACAAACCAUUGAGCUAGACUACCAUCUUCACUCAAACCCCUUGGAGGUGCAAAAGAGCCAAAGCGGUGAGGAUGACACCAGCCCUCAGGAGGCCUAAGUCCAGCAUCAUUAAUUGCAGCAACCCAGUCUUUAACUUUAGCACUACUCUUAGCUCUUAACCUUAUGCUCCGGUUUCCGCAUGUCACCUUUAGAAAUUUCCUGUUGUCUGUUAGAGAGUGAACUUCAUCUAUCCAACAACUAAACUAUAUAUCUAUCCAUAUAUAUGUUCCCAUAAAUUAAAUGGACCAAUUUAAUUUCAACAUGAAGAUGUGGUGGGAAAAAUUCAUCUCAAAACAUAGCAAAAUUUCUUCAGCCACUAAAAUUUCAUGUCACUUGCUCUGUGAGGAAAAAGGCAGCACAAGCCCUAAUAUCUAGCUGUAUAGGGGUAGAAUCAGGCAAAAGAAUUAAGUGGCUGUAGUCCCAAAACAACCCCUACAUACUCUAAAUUACUGCAAGAAAGAAAAUCAACCUUACUUUCCAAAUUAAGUGUCGAAGUUGUCGAAUAUGUUAAGGCCCUUGUUUUUUAGGUUCAAACCAGACAAUAAACAGAUCUUUAGUAAACCUACAGAAAUUUAUAAGCAUAACUUCCCUCUCAAAGCCAUUGCUUUAUUGCAGGGCUUCUGAAACAUGUGUUUCUAAUAAGCAGACUCCCAUACAUCAGUAAUCCAGUACCAUAUUAGUAGGUUUUCAGCUUCUCAUAUACCAUAAAUACAUAUCCUUUCAGUUAGAUCGAAUCAGAAGAUACCCCAAGCAUGGCACACUAUGGUUGGUUAGUUAAGAAAAUAGACUGUACACAUUGAGGUGGUGAUAUUGAAAUUUCCAAUAAUACAAUAGGAAGUGAAAUGAACCUAAAGGCUCACUGGAAAGGCCAGUAGCCUGUGCCUAUUCCAUUUAUGUGGUUCUGGGUGGAGUAGAACAACAAUAGACCUAACUUCCAGAAUUUUUUAAUCCAGCCUCUCCACCAGAACCAAAAAGAAUAAAGCAACAGAUUUUCACAAGAUGAAAGGACCACAUGCUUCUUACCUUUAAUGCAUGGCGUAAAGGGUUCCUUUCCUUUAUUUCUUUUGCUAAUGAUAGCCGGCCCUCCCCAUUUCCAUCUGAGGCAGGUAGCAGAUCAAAAACAAUAAUAUCUAAAGGCUGAGGAUGAAAAGGAUCUUCCAGCAAGGCCAAGAAUCCAGGUUUCAAUACAGCCCACACCUGCAUAAAAAUUCAAGAAUGUGAUAAAAUGAAAAUGUAAGAAGAACAAAAAAACAAAUGCAGACGUACUAUCAAAGGACGAUAAAAAAGAGAAACACUUGUGCAACAUGGUACAGAAUAUAAAUCACACACUAAAAUUUUUCAUAUUUAACCACAAUUUAAUGUUAACACUGUUAACAAUUCACAAACAAAACUGAGGGAACCACAGGUUUGUCAGUACGUGCCGUUAUAUGGCACAUAGAGUAGAGAUGAACUAGGGUGAAAGAAAAACAAAUAACAAAGGAGAUUAUAAAUAAAUGUGCAAGCAUAAUAAAUUAAAAGAAUGAGAGUAUAGGAUCUAGGAUCAUGGUACUCCCAGAUAUGAAAAUAUAAUGCAGAUAGUGAGCAAGAAAUCCAAUAACAGUAAGCCUACAGCCCUGUUAAUAGGCCAGAGGGCAGGUCAAAACCUUCAAGCUACAUUUGGUUCAUGGAAUGGGAUGGUUGUUGCUUUCCAUUCCAUCAAUUCCAGUAUUUGGUUAUGCACAACGUUUUUCUUUUAGAAUUUUAAUAGGUUUGUGGCACACAUAACACACCUAGGGAUGUGAGUUUGCAAAAAUGAUUGCUAUGAAUGGGUUUUAAAAUAAUUGAAGUGACAAGCAGAUCCUUUUAUUUGUUACUCAAAUUACAAUAAUAUCAUAUUGUCCAUCAAACUAUCUUUAGAAAGUAAAUUAAUUUGAACUUUUGUAGAAGGUAAAUGACAAAUUACGAAAAUAUUCUAGAAAAAAAAAAUUAAUUACAAUUCUAAUAGAGUGCAUAAUAUACAUUGUGGGCCCAAAUCCAAUAUGCUUAAGCUUUUAGGAAAAUUAGUAUUUUAACAUGACAUCAAAGCCUUGUUUAGUGGGAGAUCAAGAGUUCGAGCCUCACCAUUGCAUGUUUAAUUACCCAAUUUAUUUUUUUAAUCAGAAACAAACAUAUUUAGUAAUUAAAAAAACAUAAGAAGGAUGAGAAGUCCUCCCCAGGAUGUACAAACCUGCUCAAAAGAACUAAGAAAACCUCUGCUAAAAAAGGAAUGCUAUACAAAAAAGACAAAAGGCCUAUACAAGUAUAACCACUUCAGACCCAAUUUUUAUUUACCUAAUUUAUUAAGUCCAUAAACCCAAAAAUGGAGGUUACAUCUAAGGGAGGAUGUUAAAGUGCAUGAUAUACAUUGUGGGCCCAAAUCUUAUAAGCUUAAACUUUUAGGAAACUUGGUAGGUCAAUACUAAACAAAAUCUUUUGUGAUGAAUUUUUUUUCAUAAAUAAAAUAUACUUGUCUGAAAAAACUGGAACAAGAAUUAGAUAAUUAAAAACAUAAAGAAUAAUAAAGUUGUUAUUAGUCAAAAUUUAUCAUAAAAGGCUUCACAAAAGCACAUAUCUUUUUAAUGGAACUUUAUUUUUUGUUAUCAUUACUUAGAACCAUUACAGAAAUCUAUGAUUAAAGUAGAUCAUAUUUUAACACCACCAGGUAGAUAAGAAACUUCUCAAAACCUCGGAAUUCCAAUAUGGAAAUGUUCAAUUGAAACAGAACCUUUUCAAGAUACCAUUAAAUAUAAUUUUUUUUUAGGAUAAGAUUGCAUUACCUUUUGCCAAUUGUCAUUGCAACAACUGAACCAAGGACAUGGGCAACAUUUUCUAGUAUCGUCUUCCUUUGGAAUUUUUGGUAAAUGCUUGACCAUCACAUAAUCUUCUUUCAGCUUUGGGCCAUAUUCCGGAGAAAAUGAUAACUUCGAAACCUCCAAAAAUUUGCAAACCUACAGCAUAGAAUAACCCACUGUAAGAACCAGGUACUAUGCAGUGGUGCCACUCUCAAGCACACCACUCGUGCAUGGUGCCACCUGUUUCAUUUAUUUGAAUAAUGCUAAAAAAUAUAUUCAUUUCAUUCUCAGUUGUCCCUCUCAAGGACUUCACCAGUUGACAAUUUCUUUUAACAUAUAUGAAUAUUCUUCUGAUGAUGCUUUUUUGAAUUUGAAUAUAUUUUGCUUUUUUUAUAUAAAUUUUUUUUUAUUUAUAAAAUAACUGAAUAAACCUUAGAGAUAAAAAAUAAGAAAUAAAAUUACAAAGAUAUUAUUUAAUAAAAUUUAUUACCAUUUUUUAAAAUUCUUCUUAGAAGUAUAAAUUUUUUAUAUAUAAAAAAAGACACAUAAUUAUUUAAAUAUGGCUUUUUUUUACAAAUAUAUUUUUCUAUAAAAAUAGAAAAUCGGUUUACUAUUAAAUUUUGAGAACAUAUUGGUUGUUUCAAUUUAUAGGCAACCAUAUGCACAAUGACCCAAAUUUGAUUUUUUUUAAAAAAAAUUAUUUCUACAAUAUUUUUAAAAUGUUAUUUAAAUUUUUGUAUUUUUAAUUGAAAAAACUACUCUUUCUUAUGUUAAGGCCCUUCCCCUCCCUCCCUCCCUCCCCCUCCCCAAAAAGAAAAGACAAACAUUUCUACACCCCUAGGGAGAGUGUACAUUCAGUUGAAGACAAAUACAUAAUAUCAUAAAACAAUACAUAAAAUUUUAACUAGCAAUUAGACACCCAUUUUUGACAACAGCAACUAAAAGAUUGUUCUAUUGACAAAGAGAUAAUUAAAGGAAGAAUUAUGGAAUAGUAGACCAUUUAAAAAAAAAAAAAGGAUUUUGUUAGAACCCAAACUUAACCUUUUCAUAUCAAAUACAUAAUAAGAUAAAAUAAUCCCACAAGACAUGCAGACGAGUAAUUAUGAUGGAAUUCCAAAAUUGCCCAUUAAAAAAAAAAGUUGUCCAAAACUCCACAUAAACUCUCUUGCUAUGUAAACAUCCACAUGGUAGCAAAAGAGGGAUUGCCACACAAGCCCAUGCCCACAGUUUUAAAAGGCACAAGGAGCACCUAAAGUGCAAAAGUCUCCUACAUCGUAGGUGCAAGGCACAACACAAGGCACACACUUGAGCGACAUAAAAUGUGACCUAAAAUGCAUAUCAAUUUUAUAAAAUAUGAUUCAAAAUAUAAUAAAAUCAAUAAAAAUUUAAGAUUCCAAACAUGUAAGAGAACGAUUCAAUAAAAGAGAAACGAAAAUAUAUAAAUUUCAAUAUGUUGUUAGAAAUUUAAAAAGUAAAAGUGUUUGAAAGGGAAAAGUAAAAUAGACGAGGUGCAACUCUCCAACAAAACGCAUGCCUUGGCAAGCAAUGCACUAUAACUAGGGAGUGGUUGCUCCUUGAACCUAGGUGUGUGCCUUCUAAAACUAUGCCCAUGCCAUUAAAAAAAAAAAAAAAAAUGAAAGAACCCAAGCCCUAACCUAUUUCUCAUCAAAGCACUUUCCCUCCCACAACACUUACCAUGUCAAACCAAAUUUAAAGCCAUAACCAAGCCAAAAUCCACUCUAUCUCUACAAAGAUAUUGAAAUCUACUCUAGUUUUUCAUUUGAUGCCCAAAUCUAAUUCAUCUAUUGCAACCCAUGCUCAACAGUGGUUGGCCCCUCAAAAGUCCUUGUACUUUGAGUCCCUAAUCAUCCAUCCCCAUCAAUGUGUUUAUAUAUAUGGGUGUUUCUUUUUGUAAUGUUAUUCACUUUCAAAUGUCUUAGGUUUAGAUCUUUUUGUAAUUUUUCAAAGCUCUAGUUUCAUUGAGGUUGUUUGUAAUUUUUUUUGUGAUUUUGAAAAAAAGAAAAAAAAAAUGGAAUGAACUUUAUGUUGAUUUAGUUGUAUCCAAUUGAAGGUGCAAGAAGUGAAAAAUAGUUGUGAAUAGAGUAAACAAUUAUUAGCUAAAGGAAUUUAAUUAAUGAAAAGAAAUGAAUGAAAUGGAUUUCAUUUCUUAGGUUUUCAUAGAAGGUUUCAAUACAACUUCUGCAUUUUGUUGGUGCUAUGUGGUUUUGGGUUCUUUUCCUUUUCAAUCCUGAUGUUUUGUUGUUUUUUGGGUUCUUUAUACUCUCUUCCGACAUAGCAUAGAAUCAAAACAACAAAGCACAAAGGGAAAAGAAACCAAAACAAUAUAGCACCCAACAAAAUACAAAACUUCCACGGGAACCUUCUAUCAAACACUAAGAAACAAGAUCCAAUUUCAUUCAUUCCUUUUUCAGUAAUUAAUUCCUUUAGCUUAUAUAGAAGCAUAAAAAAGCUCAUUCUUUACUACUAUUUUUGGUAUAGGCUCUUAAACUAUAUACAACUAAAUCAACAUAAUGUUCAUCCCAAAUUUUUCCACAAAAUCACACAAAAAGUUUAUCAAACAACAUGAAGAAAUAUUGAGCUUUGAAAAAUUACAAAUAAGCUCAACCUAAGGCAUUUGAAAGUGAAUAACAUUAUAAAAAAAUGCACACAUACAUAUAAACAUAUCGACGGGAAUGGAUGAUUAGAGACCUGAAAACUUACCAAUCUUUUGAAAAAGAAAAGAGAUCUGAAUGGAGCCAAAGUACCACGGUUCUUGAGGGCUGAUUAGUGUUGAACGUGACAAUAGAUGGGCUGGAUUAGGGUGUCAAAUGCAAAGCCAGAGCAAACUUCAAUAUUGCUGCAGAGUUAGAGUGGACUUCAGCAUGGUUAGGGGUUCAGAUUUGGUUAGGGCCUUUGAUUUGGUUUAGCGAGGUAAGUGUCAUGAGAUGGAAGGUGCUCAAACAAGAAACAGGUUAGGGCCUUGGUUCUUUUAUUUUGGGGGUUUCUUUCUUAUUUUUUUCUUUUUAUAAGUCCACCUGUCAUGCCAAGUUAGAAUGCUUACAUGGCAUGGGCUAGUUGGCAAAUCCUACUUUGGCUGCCAUGUGGAUGUUUAUGUGGCAAGAGAGUUUCUGAAAUUUUGGAGAAAUUUUUAAAAAAAUAGCAAUUUUGGAAUUCCAGUAUGAUUAUUGUUCCAGUGCAUGUUUUGGGGAAUUAUUUUACCCCAUUGUGCACUUGUUAUGGAAAGGUAAAGCUUGGGUUCUUAAAGAAUCCAUUUUUUUAGAUGGCAUACGGUUGCAUAAUUCUCCCCCAAUUAAAGAAAUGUGAAGUUCCAAAGUUCAAGUAUGAACAUUACAUACCUCAAGAGUUAUAAAAAGAGCAGAAAUCAAAUAACUAAACACAACGCAUCAAUUAAUUGGAAGUUUUCUAUUAUCAAAAUGAUGUGACUAGAAUGUUUAGGUAGGAAUAUCAUUUCAAGAACAUUAGUGUGCAUCAGAAUAAGGAGCCGAAGAAGACUUGAAAAUAAACCUUCGGUAUAGAGAAUUUAGUACCAUUAUAGACACUAUUGGGAGCAUCCAAAACAAAUGAAGAGCCAUAUGGUAGUUUUUAGGGUACUUCCACAAGGAAUCAAACCAGGAAUCUUCUCUAUCCCCACCCCAACACCUUACUACUUGAACUAGGCCUCAAGGAUUAACAUCGUAUAUCCACCUUAAGAGAAGCAGGGUGUUAAAUGCUACGUAAUAAAGCAUUAGCAUUAUCAAGGACCCCUUGUCAGUGCAUUAAUCCAAAUGAAGAGAUUUAAGAUUAAAAACUUUGUCAAAGCAGCACAAGACCUGAAAUAGAGGGUUUUUUUUUUUUGUUAGGAUGCAAAUCUUGCAAGAGAGGUAGUGUGCUUUUCUUUUUUUUGGUGGGCUUAGUGGCAGAGAGAGGAAUUUGAAGUAUUCUUCAGAGACAUGGAAGCAAUAAAUUUUGAAUUUAGAGUGACCAAAACUCUAAUCGAAUUAGAUAAUCUAUUCUCAAUCCAUGAACACAAGCCAAAACAGUGAUUAAAACUCUAACUGAAUUAGACAAUCUAUUCUCAGCCCAUGAACAGAAGCCAAAGCAGCAGGGCAUUAUAGGACUUAUAAUAAGACAGAAGAAACUCAUUUAUUGCAUAUUAGGAGCAUAGAUGAUAAUUGAAAGGGUUCUACCUCUUUGCAGAUGACAUAAAUAUAACUAGCAAAAAAAAAAAAGAAAAGAAUACAGACAACUAACUAAAGGUAUCUGAAUUCAAAUGACUCAAAAUAAGAGAGGCAUCACUAUGUUCAAAAUGAGGAGCUUAAACAUACCUCUCGGGAGUUUACUAUAUCCAAAUUUCCAAGAAAUAGAUUAAGAUACCCUUGCAUUGCAACCUUUGCUCUAUCAGAAACAGAAUUCUGCCUUCCCAGGGCUGGCCGAAUGAUUGGCAGAGCAGCACUAGAUGGAAUAUCUCUGGAAAAAAAAAAAAAAAGGCCACCCAUAAGAACUCUAGCAGUACACAGAUGUGCUUUAUUUUUAGCAUCCAUCUGACAAGAACAAGAUCCAGCAAUCACCUGUUUUUAACACUUUCAUCAUGAUGUAAAGGAACAGUUUCCUCAUCAGGUUCAUCAUCAUCAUGCACGACUGCUGUGUGCUCUCCUAUUCCUAUGUUUUGAAGCCAUUCUUUAACCUUUAAAUGUUAAAUAAAAACUAUAUCAAAAACCCCACACCUUCCCAACUAAACAAUAAAUGGGAGAAUCUUCCCGAACUUACGUUAUCAGAUACAAUAAAAAACAAGGAAAAAAGAAUGAAGCACACCUGCUCUUGCUUCUCUUGAAUUUCCUCGAUAAUUACUCGUUUUUUUAACGCAAAGUGUAAAAAGAAUACUUGUGAAGCUUUCUUUAUUAACCGCCACUUGAACUGAAGUAUAAGAACAAAAGAUUAGUACACCAAAUUUUAAGGUGUUCACUUCCAACAAAAAGGAAAAGGCACCACUAUGUAUUGGGGACAGAAAAAGGAAAAGAAAUAAGAGAAAUAUCACACUGACGGAGAAUAAAAACCUAAAUUUUGUACGGUAUACAACAACAUGAAAAUCGUAUUCAGAGUUGAAAAUUCAAUAAAUUUCCACUAUAAGAUUGUUGUUGAUCUGCCAGCAUUAAAAGAAAAUUAUCAUUAUCAUUGUUACCGUUCUCAUUGAAGGAAGAGGACACACCUCUCUCCUAGGUGUCUCAUUUCACACUUGCCAUAUGUAAAAUGAUGUAAAUAACUGUAUUUUACCCUUAUGAUACAAAAUGAAAGAAUGCAAUGAUAAUUACACAAUAAUAAUCCUACAAAACUUCUUUUUGUGCAUGUUACAUCUACAUGCUUGACAUUUACCAAAUGUUAAUUCCUAGUGUUCAUGUACGAGUUUCACUAUCAUGGCCAUAGCAUGUGUAUGCAUCUACUGUGAAUAUUAAAGGCUAUGUACAGUAGGGCACCAAAAGUAAGUGGCCUAACCUGUUUUAUAAUUUAUCAUGCUUGAACUCCACAUAACAAUAAAGAAAAUCACAUUGAUUGACAAAAAAGGUAAUGAUCUUACUUAGCAUGAGUGAUACUCAUUUCCUUGCAAAUGAAAUGGAUAACAAUGCAGUUGAAUCAAUCAUAUAAUUUUAAGUUUAAUUCAUUUAUCACAAUCUUGAACCUAAAAACCCCAAAAAGACUGAUAUCAGCUUAUUCAAUAAAUCAAUUUUAAUCAAGUCAAUGUGAUUUGAACCUAACCUAAGUUUCCAACCAAGAAACCAUCUAAAGUUGCCGAAUUCAACUAAGCUCAACCUCCGAUAAAAUAAUCAUCAAACGCUAUUGCCUUCGGUUUCAAGAAACCGAGGGUUAUUAAGAACUUAUAAAAUCGGAAAAUAACAGCAACUCUAACCCCAACCUGGAAUAAAAAUCAAAAAGGAACUCCAAAUUAUUGUUCAUCUGACUCUUUUCUUUUUCUUUUUCUCGCAAAGCAAACAGAGGCGUAAAAAAUAAAUCCAGAGAACAACAAUGAAAAAUAAAAAUAAAAAAACGAAACGAUCUUGCCUGUUUAUAUCGGAAUUCAAUGGUGUAAGUUAACAGCGCGGGGCUGAUGUCGCUGGCAUCGGGCCGAGAGACGAACACGAUUGUGGCCUUGGGCAACUCGUCGAAAAUCCGAGUUGACUCCGGGCUCUGGCGGAAGCUGAAGAACGACGAUAUCGUCGACGGCAUCGGCUCCGAUUGCAUUUGAAUGUAGCGUGCCCCAGCGCCGGACAUCAAGUCCUCCGACGCCAUUGAUUCCGAUCAGACUCUGAAGUCUCUCAGUCCCUCCCCUGAGAAUUUUGAUUGAAAAUAGAGAGCCGUUCAACGCCUUGUUACGAUGGCUCCGGAUCCAAGUUCCAGAGAGAGAAAGCAACAAAGAGAGAAAGGGCCGGAAAUUGUUGGUUUUGGUUUUGCUUCAAAUAAAAACAACUGCUCUACAACUACGUCAAAAUCUGGAAACUCAUAUUGAAUUUUGCCAUUUCAUGUAUAUGGGUUUCGGAUCUAAUACAAUCCGGAUGGUUCAAUGAUCCGAACCGGAAAAUUCAUAUCGGAUUCUUAAUCCAACGAAACUUUUAAUCACGUUUGGCUGCCACGCUUCCACGUGUCUCCCAUAAUUUUCAUCAUCUAUGAGAUGAGGGAAGUAGGCACGCCUGAACUAAUGUUUUGAAAACUAUAUACUAUUUUCACCAAGUUUCUAGACGCUUCCCUAUAAAUUAUAAUUGGGAAAUUUCCAAAUUAUCCUUCUUAUUUUUAAUUAUUUCUUAUAACACAGUAUAUAAAAUAAAAUAAAAAAUAUCUAAAAUUUAUUGACUCGAAAAAUUAAUUUUUAUUCUACAAAACGAAAAGUUGUUUUUAAGAAGAGUGUUAAAUGUUCAGAGUUUUUUAUUGGUCUGUACAAAUUUUCAGAGAAGGAAUAUUAGUUGAUACACAAAGGAAGAUGCCACCAUAUUCCCCCUUUGGUAGUUGCCUUGAUUGACUUGGAAAUGAUUGAACCAAAGGAAGUCGGUGGCUCGCAGUCGCAGACACCUAUUUCUUAAUUAUUAUUUAAGAUAUAUAUAUUUUCUCUGUUGGUUUCGUGCCAGACUUGUAGAUGAAGCAUGGCAAGCAACCAAACUGGCAUGCGAUGCAUGAUUAAAUUAUUUCAGAUUUCGUGAAUUAAUGGAUAAAAUUAUGGGUUCCAUGUAACCAUUUUAUUUAAUCAUCUUCCAAGGGUUUAUCGCUUAUUUUUAACAUUGGGUACAAAUUAAUUUUUGUUAAGCACACUUUUCUCUUGACAACAAGAAUAUGACAUAAAAAAAUUAUGAUAUCAAAUUCAAUAUCAUACCAAAAUUUCAAUAUAGAUGGUUGAAAUGCAGAAUGAAAUCUAAGUUAUUUAAUGAGGGUAUAAAUAAGUGAAAUCAAAAUAGAAAGUAAUAGAAUAAGGUAUAAAUAGGAUCAAAGUGUAAAUAUGGCACAUUCUCAUUAGUGACCCCUUUUCAAGUACUGGUUCAAAGGGAUGAUUUCAGCCAUUAAAAUGUAUGUUUUGUUAUUUUUAAAUCGCAGCUUAAUAUUACAACUAUAGUAUAUAUUUAGAGAAGGUGGGAGGGUCGUGGAAUUUGUUUGCUUGGGAGUAAUGGUAACUCAAUAUAUGAAUAUGUGCCCAUAUUGGUUUACAGCUAGAUGGCAUGGGGCAAAGAAUUGGACCACAUGGAUAACAGCCAAAAUAUUUUGGGCAUUGGACCACAUUGGGCUCCCAGGGGCUUCUUUCUAAAUACAGCAAAUUUUGAAAGUUAUUUUUAAAAAAUGAUAAUAUUUUGGAGGGAUUAUAGGAGCUUGGCUGAUAAGAUCAAGAACCACCUGGAUGGUGCUACCAUCAAAAUUUGCAAAGCACAAUCUCAAGAAUAACAGCAAUCCACAUCCCGAAUUGAAUCUUGAGGCUUAAAGCAUCAAUUGUUUUUAGCAAUCUUGAAUUCAUAACAAUAACUCGUCCCAACCCAGCGAAGCACAGAGGUAAGUAGCCCUGAUACUAAAAUCCAAAAAUAAAUAAACAUUUAAAAAAAAAAAAAAAAAGAUAUGCUACUGUUUGAAUAUACCGUUCCAAUUUCGGAAAAAAAUGACCUCAAUGCAUUAAGGUGCAACGGGACUCAAGACAUUUUUAGCCGCUGCUUUGUAAUCGGCUUUGAGCAAAGCAGCAAGAAGAGAACAAGACAAACAAGAUCAACUCCAAACAUUAUGAACAAAGCAAACUUUUAAGACCCAAAACUGUGCUUUCAACUAAUACGAGUAAAUUCUUAUGUUUAACUGAAGCAUGCACACAUAAUUUAAUGGUUCGCUGAAAUCAUAAAUGAACAAAGCACUCAACAUAUGGGAAAGUACCUAAAACUUAAUAGAGGUUCAAGAUUUCUUAUAAAGAAAAAAUUGGCCACAAAAAGAGAACAAUAUUGGAUUAAGAACAAAAUCCUACUGCAGAAAACCAAGAGAUUGUCAUCUGUUGUUAUCAGUUCUUCAAUGUUCAUGGUAGAGGCACCUCUCAUCACUUCUUGGCCUUUUUAGUUCCCCUACAAGAGAGAGAGAGGGGUUAGAUCCACCUGUUUCAAAUAGAUGGAUAAAACAAAAUUUCACAUUUCUUACUCAGCAGGCUGGGGUGCAGAUGCUGGUGGUGCCCUUUCCACAGGUCCCUGAGU